CAGUAGCCACGGGAAUACGAAGGGGGCUAGCGUUGUUCGGAAUUACUGGGCGUAAAGCGCACGUAGGCGGACGCUUAAGUCAGGGGUGAAAUGCCGAGGCUCAACCUCGGAACUGCCUUUGAUACUGGGUGUCUUGAGUCCGGAAGAGGUGAGUGGAACUGCGAGUGUAGAGGUGAAAUUCGUAGAUAUUCGCAAGAACACCAGUGGCGAAGGCGGCUCACUGGUCCGGAACUGACGCUGAGGUGCGAAAGCGUGGGGAGCAAACAGGAUUAGAUACCCCAGUAGUCCCUGUCUCUUAUAC
RNAcentral lists this ribosomal RNA (301 nucleotides) under uncultured bacterium. Its description in RNAcentral is "partial 16S ribosomal RNA". It matches the Rfam family "Bacterial small subunit ribosomal RNA", at positions 509 to 807 of the family's 1533-position model. The record is from RNAcentral.